AGUGAAUCUACGGAAGUCUGGAGUCUGUACCUAAAAUGCAACUCUUGCUCUGUUGAUACAUGGUACAGAUAAGGAGGCCGCAAUAUGCAGAGAUUGAGUAAUGACCAAUAUCACCAGGCUCUUAAGUGAUGGAGCUAGUACUGACCAGGUUAAGACCACUGGUCCAAUACCAGCUGAACACUGGCUACUGGGAUGGAUACUGGCCUACCUGGAUUCUGGUUAUUGACCUGUAGAGGUCAGACCUAC
This is a non-coding RNA of Leptonychotes weddellii (Weddell seal), 246 nucleotides long. Lineage: Eukaryota; Metazoa; Chordata; Mammalia; Carnivora; Phocidae. The record is from RefSeq and is a predicted model, not a curated record.